Sinocyclocheilus grahami is the source of this 1499-nucleotide long non-coding RNA. RefSeq lists it as uncharacterized. The transcript is spliced from 2 exons. The record is from RefSeq and is a predicted model, not a curated record. NCBI's taxonomy places the organism in Eukaryota, Metazoa, Chordata, Actinopteri, Cypriniformes, Cyprinidae.
AUAGAGAGAGAGUGAACUCAAAAAUCAGUGUUUCCUAUGUCAGUAACACUCUGUCAGUCUGAGAGUGAGUGUGCGUGCGAGUGCGUGAGAGCGUGUGCUUGUGAGAGCGAGAGAAUGCAGGACUUUUCCUCAUAGGCUGUUGCACCCUUGACCCCUUCUCCUCUCUUGGGGUUGCCUUGCUUGGAGAUCUAGAUGGUUUUGGGUGAAGAAAGAACAGCUUGAUUGAUGUAUUAUCAACACAGACUCACUCUGACGUGAAAUGAGGACCCCCGUCCCCCUCCGCACCUCUCCUCCUACGGCCAGCAUUGAAACGGCCCACUUCCUCCGCCUGGCUGUGACGAAGCCAUCUGAGAGAGAGAAAAAGACAUUAUGUCAAGGAGAGGGAGAUGAAAGGAUAUGGAGAGAAAAAAAGAUGACAUGCCCCUCCCAGUCCUUGUUUUAAGUGGCAGGCCAGAGAAAAACUGACAUAUGGAGGAACCUGAAGAGAGCUUACGAACAUCCUCUAGAGAUAAUGGGGAGUGAAUGUAAAGAUGGAGUGUUGUGGGUUUUUGGGGGGAGAAAUGAUUGAACAAGAGAGAUAUUUUAUGAAGAGCGACUAUAUGAACGAACUGGCUGAUUAUUUUGAUAUUUUGAUAAGAUAGCAAGUUUUUGAACAUUUGAGUAUGGACUCCUGCCUUUUGAAGGACCUUUUUUAAUUUGUCAAGUUUGAUUUGUUUGUUCCAUAAAAGGUUUUUUUAUUUUUUAUUUUUUUUUGUUCUUCCUUUUUGCUUAUUGCGUAGAUCAUACCUCUUUAAGAUUGUGCUGAAAAGGUCAGGGCUGUACGGUGACCCCAUAACACACUCGCUCUCUCUCUCUCUCUCUCACACACACACACACACACACAGAAAGACUUAAAGCUAAAAUUAUCACCACACCCUCUUUCUACACACAGGUUCACACUUUCAUUUUGUAUAGCCUGCUAUUAUUUGUAAAUUUCAUUAUUAGUUACCCACACACACAUCCAAAUAUAUCCCUUACAGCCACCCGCAAACUGGCACCAUUUAACUUAAAGAUCCGUAUUGACUGUUUAUGCUGCCCUUUAAUACUGGUAAUGGACUGUGAAGAGACUAUGGCAGAGAACUGGGGUUGUCUGUUUUGUUUUGUGUGUUUCGAGGGCAGUAUUUGUGUUAAUCUGUGUCUGAGAACCAGGUCUUACUGUGUUAAUCGUUGUCAAAGGGAUGAGGUGUUUGUCUUAGGCCUGUAUGCGUUUAGCUAGUGUUUACCUCUAUUUCUCACCCUGCCUUUCUUACUCAAAAGUAUUCAGUCGUGCUGGCUAAAAUGAAUUCUCGUUGUCUCUUACAAUUCAUAAACAUAUUCUAGACUUAAACAGUAUGAGGUGGGUUGGGGUCACUUUGGGGGACACAACGCUGGCCAAGCAUCUGUCGUUAUGAUUACUGGAUUGAUUCCUUUUUAAUUUUUAUUUUCAAUGUUUUCUUUUUCUAUUAAAACAUGAGACACAG